CAGCGAUGACUCACCGCAGCACCCCCUUACCCCCCCCCCCCCGUGCGUCAAACUGCCGUCUCCGCCCACCCCCAAACAAGCUCCACCACCAGCCGCAGCUCCCGGCGCUCUGCUGGGGGCUGGAGGGGGCUCAUCCCCAUUCCCGUAGCCCAGCAGGCUAAAACCUUCCCCAUCCCAGGCUUCAGGCCUGUCUCGCUCCCCACCCGACCCUUCCGAAGAGCGGUGGAGAAGGAUGCGACAGCCGGGCCCGGGACACGGAAUCCAGCAACGACAGCGCGCGCGGAAGGGGCAGCCGAGCGCCCCGGGAGAGAUGCUUGGAGUAAGAAGCUCAAAGCUGAUGCUUCAAGCUACACCUACCGCGGCUUUGGGAUGCAAAUUUGGAAGUUAGACAAGCCCGAGCUUGGAGGCUGUGUGUGAGCACGUGUCUGACGGUACGUAUCGGUGGCAUUCACGGCAAGCGUAACUGGAAUAAACUUCAGCUACCGUUGGGCUCUGUGCAAGAGAGGUUCCAAAUGCAAAGCUUCAAUAACUGGGAGACUUGAAGACAGAUGCACAAGACUUGCACUCGAACUGCUACAUAUAUGGACAAUCAAGAAAAAAGCUCUACGGUGAAGAGCAGUAGGCUCCGUCUCCAAGUUCCCUUGCUGGAAGGCAUAUUAUGAAACGGGAUGUACCAUCAGAGACGAAGAACUCGUCUAGUCCACGCAGAGAACAGCGGUGGAGGAGUGCCCACUCACUAUCUGGCAUCUGAUAGUCGUAAAAGGUGAGCCCGACAUAAUUGAACUUCCCUAAGAAUUCUUCCUCUCAAGCUUCUCCUGCUCCAACCCUCAUCUUGUUUUGUAUUUUUAACAUUUUACAAGGCACUGAUACGACUUCAACAACAAACAAUAGCCUUUAGUGGAAGAUAGUGGCUGCAGAAGAAAUAUCAAUGCUUUAUUUGCAGGCUUUAAAGCCUGAUACUCUGCUAAAAAAGUGGAACCCAAGGAAGCAAAGCUGCCAUGUAAAUGUAAGAAAAUCUACUCUCUGGGGAAUAUGAGAGUGUCCCAAGGAUUCUGUCGUCACAGUCAUAUGAGACUCGGAGGAACUGAGGCCACAGAGCCAAGAGGGAGUGGGCCUCAGGUGGGCACCCUCCUGUGUCUGCUUGUAAACUCGCACUCCCCCCAUCAUUCUGGGCUGAGGCCGGCAGGGAAUUGGCAAAUGCACCUUCGAACACCCACAUUCCUGAUGCUCAUCCUCUCUUCCCUACUUCAGUUUCUCAAACACUUCCUGUGGCUAUGGAAGGGAAUUAAUUAUUGAUGAGGCAGCCGGCCUGCGCAAAGCAGAAAUCCCACUCCAAACUGGGUGCGUUGCCUCCCUGGAGAGCUGCUGGGAUUGCUGUAGAGCAUUGUUUUGCUUUUCCCUCAAGAAAAAAACUUGAACAAUUGGUCAGAGCCCGGAAGCCUGGUCAUUGCCCUAAUUCACAGCUGUUACUCAGGCCAUCUAGUCUGUUCUCCCCCAUGAAGUGCACUGCACCAAAAAGUGUAUCAUGUCAAGGUAGAAAGUAGCAUAUAACAAAACAUUUCAUCAUUGAAUACUGGGAUGUGCUGCAUUUCAAAGAAGGAUUAUUUAGUCCAUCCAUUGGAAUGCAUCGUAAGAAGGACUGACUACAAGAUCGUUUUUUUUUUUUAAGAUUUUAUUUAUUUAUUCAUGAGACAGAGAGAGAGAGAGAGAGAGAGAGGCAGAGACACAGGCAGAGGGAGAAGCAGGCUCCAUGCAGGGAGCCCAACGUGGGACUUGAUCCCAGGACUCCAGGAUCACACCCUGGGCCAAAGGCAGAUGCUUUAACCGCUGAGCCACCCAGAUGUCCCUGACUACAAGAUCUAAACUGAGUAGUGUCCAGUCAUCUUAGCAUGGCCCACAGGUCCUCCGUGAUGUGCCUCCACAAUCUCUGCGUCAGAAGAUCAUGAUCAUUCCGCCCCAAGGCCUCUGCUGUUCCCUGGACUGGAACACCUAAAGCCUCUGAUCUCAGGGUUGUUCCAGUUUCAGCUGAAUUGUCAGCUUCCCAGGGAGUCCUUCUUCUCUAUCAGGACACAGCCUUUUACAAGACCCUGUAAUUUCUCAUCUUCACAGCGUCGGGCUGUGUGAAUACCUCUGUUUUGAUUUCCUGUUCCUGUCUGCCUCACUGGAAAGUAAAAUGAAGCUCACUGAAAGUAGGAACGGUCUCUGGUCUACAGGAGGUUCCUUACCAACUGGAAUAGUGCCAGGCAUGUAGUAGAUACUUAGUAAUACUUGUGAAUUUUAAUUAAUGAAGCCAAGGGCAUAUGCAUAGAUUAUAUCAUUGUCUUUUUGUUUGUCUGCAAUAGACAAACCUUGAGUUAAAAGGGAAGGGGCAUAUAUAAUGGGGAGGACUAUCAGCAAAUUUAUUAUUACCCAGAUCUUUAUUAGUCUUAACUAACAUCUCUUACAUCCAUUAAAUAUCAUCUAUAGGGAUCCCUGGGUGGCGCAGCGGUUUGGCGCCUGCCUUUGGCCCAGGGCGUGAUCCUGGAGACCCGGGAUCGAA
Nyctereutes procyonoides (raccoon dog) is the source of this 2539-nucleotide long non-coding RNA. RefSeq lists it as uncharacterized. The transcript has 8 exons. The record is from RefSeq and is a predicted model, not a curated record. NCBI's taxonomy places the organism in Eukaryota, Metazoa, Chordata, Mammalia, Carnivora, Canidae.